GGGUGGGUAUGGUUUCCCUCAUUAGAACGUAAGCAAGCUCCUUAAGGGCAGAAAUGUCUUUUGUCUUUGUAUCCCGGUCAGUGCCUGACAGUGGAUGUUUGCCUCCUUAUUUGAUUUGCUGUUCUGAGGAGCAAGCUAUUUCAGAGUACCAAAACAAUAAUAAAACUUUACCAAAAAAUUUCCUAACCCUAAUUUAAAUGUAUGUUGUAAGUGAAUAUCUUGGCAUAUUUGGGCAUCAAAAAACAAAAAGCACUCACAUAUAUACACUGUGUAGAUAUGGGUAGAUGUUUAAUGUUUGUUGAAUAAGCACGAGAAGUUAUCUAAGUAUAACCUGUGGUGCUGAUGUGGCAUCAUAAGUUACCUUUCAAAACCCAUGUAUAUUCACUUUGUCAAGUUAGCAAACAUUAAGGAUUAUGUUCAAAGAAAGUUAAUUUUGCUUGAUUCUGGGAAUAAAAAUACAAUCCCAAAAGAGAGACAACCAGUGCCUUUGAGGAAAUAUAAUGGUGGACAAUAACACAUAAAAGAAAACUGAAAAUUCAUCUUGGCUAAAUUGAGAACCAGAGCCUGAGGAGGAAUAAGACAUGAUUUACCUGAGCCUUUCCUCAAAGUGGAGGUUCUUGGAGAAACUCAUUAAUGAGAGAAGAGGACAAUAGGGAUGUAGGAUGUCUCAAAAUGACAAAGUUAAAAGGGUUGAGAGAACUCAGGAGAGAGUAUAAAGAUUAGACAAGUCAGAAGAUGAUGAAGAGGAAGGGUGAAUGGCCUCCUCCUUUCUUCAAAGAUUCUGGGAAAAAUUCCUUGAGGGAAACUCCAGAGCCAGGAGAGCAAAGGCAUUGAGGGGACUUUCAAGAUAAGGUAGUUGAGGCAUGGUGGCAGAGUCCAAAGGGUCAAUAGAAAUCUUGAUUAGUUCAAGAUACUUGUAAUGUUAAUUCUAAGAGGAAACUUAGAAGAGUGAAUUGAGUCUGUUAAUACAAAAGUUGAUAUAUGAUACCCUUCCACCAAAUUUACUUACCAAUUAACAUCAAGUACAUGGCAGGAUUUAUGACUAUAAAGAGGUGUAAGACAAAACUGUUUCCUAGCAACUGGAAAGAACAGAGAAGAUGGCUAAGCUAUUGCCAGUGAUCUUGAAAUAUGAAAAAGCCAAAAGUCCCAAUUACAGAAAGGGGAGCAUGAAUGUUACAAACUAUGUCAGGAAUCCUGACAGUUCUAUCAGUUUGUUCAACUUUCCGUUGUGUCCAUUUAUGUCUUAUUCUUAUGGUAUGCAGACCAGCCUAGGUUAUCAAAGGCCAUGAUGUCAGUACCAAUUGCUAGCUUGAAAAGCUAACCUGAAAAGCUUUGAUUAUUCAAGUUUGGAGAAGACUAAAGUUGACUACAAGUAUUGGAAGUUUUCUUCCACAGCAACUCAUGAAGUCAUAAAAUGCUGCAAUACUCCGCUCCCUUCAGCAAAUCAUGGGACAGCAAAACCAGCAAAAAGACAAAGUGAAACAAUCUUUGAACCCCCAAAACUUGGAAAAUGGGCAGAAAAGGUCUGUCUUAUUUGGCUAAAAGAAGAGUGCAGUUCAGGACCAGAAGACUCUCGGUAGCAAAUCCCACCUCAGCAAAACAGUGGAAGAUCCAGAGCCCCAGUGCAGUGGAGGGGAUAAACUUCAAUUGGAACCUCCAUUCCCAUCAUAUGCCUCAAAAUAGGGGAACAGUUAAGACUCCAGCUCUAAGAACCUCUAUUGUGAGUCACAAUAGCUGUGGACAAACAUACUAACCCUUAAGCAAAGAGCAAGCUACAGUACUUCAGUGUAGCCUUGGGUAAACAAGCAGCUGCUAGCUAUCUAGACCUCUGUGUGCUUCAUUUUAUCCUGGGGAAAACACAGAAACACCUUAAGGCCUCAGCACAUAUCAGAUACCAACUGUAGGAUCCCAGCUCAGCAGUAGAUAAGCUAUCAGACCUUUAUGACCUCCAGCAACUUCAGCCAAACCCCCCCCCCCCCCCACCCUACUUCCUCAGUAUAGUACCAGACAUGAGGGUUCCCCCAUGGGCCUCAGGGCAAAUUUAGUGCAGUACCAGAUAAAUAGCCAGGGCCUGCAUUCCCUAGCACAAGAAGAUUGAGAGUACUCUUUCUACUCUGGGAGCAGAGCUCAAAUUUAAAAGAAAAAGAUCCUCCCCAAAAAACAAAAGAAAGCCCCCAAAAGAAUCUAAUCAUAGAAAAUGAUUAUGAUAACAAGAAAGAUAAAGACAAACUCAGAAAAGGAUAAUGUCAAAAUAAUGUCAAAAUAACUACUGGCAAAACCCAAAGAAAAAUGGGAAGUGGUCUCAAGCCCAGAAGGAGUUCAUAGGAGAUCUUAGAAAGACAUUUAAAAAUCACAUAAGAAAGGUAGAAGAAAAAUUGAGGGGAAAAUAAGACUGAUGUGAGAGAAUUAUGAAAAAAAAGAUUGGAAAAAGAAAGCAAAAUUGCUUAAAAGAAUAGAAUUGGCCAAAUGGAAAAAGAGAUACAAAAGUCUACUAAAGAAAACAACUCCUUAAAAAGUGCAACUGGGGGCAACUAGUUGAUAUAGUAGAUAGAGCAUCAGCCCUGAAGUCAGGAGAAUCUGAGUUCAAAUCUGCCUCAGUCACUUACGUCCUGGCUAUGUGACUCUGGGCAAGUCACUUAACCCUAAUUACCUCAACUUAAAAAAAAAAAAAAUUAGGAGGAAAAAACAAGAGAAGGAUCCUUAGAGGUAGGAUAGGUAAAGUAAUAGCAGGGUAAGGUAGUGGGUAGAAGUAAAGUAGAGGAGUCGCAGGAACAGGAAAGAAAAGAUACACAGAAACAUAAUAAUGAUCAGGAGUAGAAUUUAUUGGGGAAAAAGUAAGGGUAAUAAUCAUUCAUCUCAGACAAAGUUAAAGUUAAAAUAGAUUCAAUCAAAAGAGAAAAAUUAGGGAAACUCUACUAUAUGUCAGCCAUAUUAGUUAAUAUUGUUUUAGACUAAAACAAUUAAAUAGUAUAAGGUUGGAAUAUUACUAUGGUAUAGGCAAUGAUGAAUUGAUGGAUUUAGGAAAAUAUGGAAAGAUUUGAACCUAAGAAGGAUGAUGUUAUCCACCUUCAAAGAAAGGGAAGACAAACAAGUGUAAAAUAAUAUUACAUAGAUGUAUAUGAAUAAAUAUAUGUAUGUGAUUAUAGAUAUAUAUAUAUAUAUUCAUGCAUGUGUAUAUGUGUGCGUGUGUGUAAAUAUAUCCAAGGGAUAGUCUACCUGUCCCAUCUAUGGGGAAAGGAAGAAAUCAUGACCCAAUAAGAGUAAAGAAUACAUAAAAUAUAAAAUACAGAAUUUUGAUCAUAUUAAAAUAAAAACUUUUUGUACAAACAAAGCUAAUACAACCAAGAUUAGAAGGAAAGCAGAAAGCUGAGAAACAAUAAAAACUAUCUAGUAUUAGAUUAUAGUAGCCUUGUGUUUGAUAAACCUAAAACUCUGGCUUUUGGGAUAAGGACACACUAUUUGACAAAAACCUGUGGGAAAACUGAAAAACAAUAGACACAAACUAGAUAUAUAUCAACAUCUUACACAGUCUACCAAGAUAAGGUCCAAAUGGGCACAUGAGUUCAAUAUAAAGGGGGAAAAUAAAGAAAUUAGAAGAGCAAAGAAUAGUCAGAAAUAGAAAGCAUUAUGAAAUAUAAAAUAGAUAAUUUUGUACAUGUUAAAUUAAUUGUACAAACAAAACCAAGUUUAGAAGAAAAUCAAAAAGUUGGGAAACAAUCUUUAUAGAAAGUGUCUCAGAUAAAGGCCUCAUUUCUCCAAUAUAUAGAGAACUGAGCCAAAAUUAUAAGCAAUUUCCCAAUAGAUAAAAAGUAAAAGGAUAUGAAUAGGCAGUUUCAGAUGAAGUUUUCACACCUAUCAGAUUGAUUAAUAUCCAAAAAAGGAAAAUGAUAAAUGUUGGAAAGGAUGUGGAAAAUUGGGAUGCUAUUGCAUUGUUGGUGGAGUUGUAAACUGAUCCAACUGUUCUAUAGAGCAGUUCCCCAUGCUCAAAGGGAAACCAAAUUGCACCCUCCUUUGAUUCAGAAAUAUCAUUCCUAGGUCUAUAUCUCAAAGAGAUCAUUAAAAAGGGGAAAAGGACCUAUGUGUGCAAAAAUAUUUAUAGUAGCCCUUUUCAUAGUGGCAAAAUCUUGAAAAACUAAGGAGAUGCUCAUUAAUUGGGCAAUUGCUAAAUAAUGUGUGGUGUUUGAAUAUAAUGGAAAACUAUUUUGCAAUAAAAAAUGAUAAAUAGGCAAAUUUCAGAGAAAUCUGGAGAGACUUGUGUGAACCAAUGCAAAGUAAAAUGUGUAGAACUAGGAAAACAUUAUAUAUUGUAUCAGGAAUAUUGUGACUCAGCUCUUUAUAACACAAAGGGCUCACAAAGGAAAAUACUAUCCAUAUCCAAUUAAAGAAUUAUGGACUCUGAAUGUAUAUUGAUGCAUAUUUAUUUUCACUUUGUUAUUUUUUGUUUUUCCCCCUUUUGAUUUAUUUUUUCUUUUACAACUGUAACUAAUAUGGAAAUAUGUUUUAUAUGAUAAUACAUGCAAAAAGUGAGGAAAGGAGAAAAAUUUGGAACUCAAAAUCUUGUAAAAAUGAAUGCUAAAGGGCAGCUAGGUGGCACAGUAGAUAGAGCACCAGCCCUGAAGUCAGGAGUACCUGAGUUCAAAUCUGGUCUCAGACACUUAACACUUCCUAGCUGUGUGAUCCUGGGCAAGUCACUUAAUCUCAAUUGUCUCAGCAGGAAAAAAAAAAAAAAGGUAAAAAAAUUAUCUUAACAUAUAAUUGGGGGGAAAUAUUAUAAAAAAAGAAAUGAGAGUUAUAACAGAAAGGAUUGGAAAGAAAUUGAACAGAUGGCACAAAAGAUGCAAAAACCUAACCAACCAACAAAUUUCCUAAAAACGACAGUGGAUCAAAUGGAAGCCAAUGACUCCAUGAGACAACAAGAAGCAUUAAAGUUAGAAGACUGAAAAAAAAUAAAAGAAGAUGUAAAACAUCUCAUAGCAAAAUCGAAGCAAAGAUAUGGAAAACACAUCAAGAAAAGAUAAUUUAAAAAUCAUUAGAUUACCUAAAAGCCAUAACCAAAAAAAGUCUAGAUACUACAUUUUAAAAAAUCAUAAAAGAAAAUUGUUCUUAUCUCUUAGAACCAGAGGACAAAGUAUAAAUAGAAAGAAUCCAUUAGUCACCUCCUAAAAGGAACCUCAAAAAAGAAAACUCCCCAAAUCCAGAUUGUUCAGAUCAAAGAAAAAAUACUCCAAUCAUCCAGAAAGAAAAAAUUCAAGUAUUGAGGGACCACAGUCAAGAUUACUCACAAUUUAUAACUACUACUCAAACUUCAGUCAGACAAAUAGUGUCUCUUAAGUGUCUACUAUGUACUUAAAACCCUGUGCAAAGUGCUGAAAAUACAAAGAAAGCCACCUCUUCCCUCCCCCCCCCCAAGUUUCUGCUCUCAAGAAGCUCCCAAUUUAAUGGAGGAAGAUAACAUUAAAACUAUUAUGUACAAAUUACACAUGUAUGCACACAAACACACACAUAUACACAUACACAUUGAGGAUAAUCUCAGAGGAAAGGUGCCAAGUUUAAGAAGGACUGGAAAAGGCUUAUUGUAGAAGGUAAGACUUUAAGACAUGAAGGAAACCCAAGAAUCUAGGAGGUAGAUAAGAGGAGGGAGAGCAUUCUAUAUUUUAGGAACAGCCAGUAAAAAUGCUUGGAGUUAGAAGAUAGUGGAUCGUAUACUAGGAAGAGUAAGAAUGCAAGUGUCAUUGGAUCACAGAAUAUAUGAAGGAGAAUAAGGUAUAUUGGGGGCAGCUAGAUGGCCCAGUGAAUUGAAUGUUAGGCUUGGCUUAAAGAAGACCUAAGUUCAAAUCUAGCCUCACACAAUUACUUGUUGUACAACCUUAGGCAAGUGACUUAACCUCUAUUUGUCUUAUUCUACUGGAGAAGGAAAUGGCAAAACACUGUAAUAACUUUGUAUCAAGACUUGAAAAAGUAGGAGAUGCCUAGGAUAUAAAAGAGCUUUAAAAGCCAAACAGUAUAUGAUAUGUAGUCAAUAGAAGCUGCUGAAAUGUGUUAAAUUGGGUAGAGGGUGAUAUGGUCAAACCUGAAUUUAGGAAACGCAUUUUGAUAGCCCAGUAAAAGAUUGGAGUGGAGAAAGACUUAACGGCAAGGAGACCAAUCAUCAGGCUGUUGCAUAUGUAGUUAGGAGUGAGGUUGGAAGAAGAGAAAAAGGAUCAUAUAGGAAAGAUGUUAUGAAGGUAGGAACAAGAAGACUUGGCCACUGAUUGAAUAUGUUGGUUGAGAUUAAAGAGUUGAGGAUGAUGCCUAGUUUAGGUGCCUGGGUAAUUGAGAAAAAGUGGCACAUUUGAUAGUAAUAGAGUUCGGAAAAGGAGUGGAUAUAAGGGAAAGAAUAAUGAGUUCAGUGUUAGAUAUAUUGAAUUUAAGAUGUCUAUGCAAUGUCCAGUUCAAGAUGUUACAUAGGCUGGAGAAGUAAGACUGGAGUUUAGAAGAGAAGUUAAAGCUGAACAAAUAGAUCAGACAAUCAUCUAUAGAGAUAGAGUUGAAACCAUGAGAGCUGGUGAAAUCAUGAAAUGAAAUAGUUGGAGGAACACAAGGAAUAGGAAGUUUAGAAUGAUAUAUUUCAGAAAACAAAAGAAUAUAAGCUCACAACUAAGAAUAACUUAACCGGUAAAACUGAGUAUAAUCUUAUGGGGGAAGAAGACAUCUUUAAGAAAAUGGAGGACAUCAAUGCAUUCCUGAUAAAAAGACCAGAGCUGCAUAAGAAUUUGAAGUGCAAGCACAAAAAUCAUGAGAAAUAUUAAAAGGUAAAUGUGAGACACUUGACCCACUCUCAGACACUAGCUGUGUGAUAAUUUCUAUGUUCUAAUACAGGAAGAUGCUAUUUGUCCCUUCUGAACUCCAUCAUCAGGAGUCAUAGAAGGAGUCUAAUUAGAAGACCCAAGAAUUAUGCUAUUUUUGUCUUGAUCUUAAAAGAAAAAUUGAAAAGGAGGAGAAGAGGAAUACAGGUGAGAGAGAUGAAGGAUAAAUCUCAUUUCAUCAGGGUAUAUGCAAGUAGAAAUCUGUACAAACAAGGAUGAAGGAGGAGUGGGGAGCAUGUGACACUUGAACUUCCCAUUUGAAUUAAUCAAAGGAAAAAACACACAUAUAUAUUUAGGCACAUUCAACAAGAGAAAUGAAGAAAA
Molecule: long non-coding RNA, 7169 nt
Organism: Antechinus flavipes (yellow-footed antechinus)
Lineage: Eukaryota; Metazoa; Chordata; Mammalia; Dasyuromorphia; Dasyuridae
Exons: 2
Source: RefSeq, a predicted model, not a curated record